RNAcentral lists this ribosomal RNA (275 nucleotides) under uncultured soil bacterium. Its description in RNAcentral is "partial 16S ribosomal RNA". It matches the Rfam family "Bacterial small subunit ribosomal RNA", at positions 26 to 285 of the family's 1533-position model. The record is from RNAcentral.
AGAAUCAACGCUGGCGGCGUGCCUCAGACAUGCAAGUCGAACGCGAAAGUCCCCUUCGGGGGCAAGUAGAGUGGCGCACGGGUGAGUAACACGUAGGUAAUCUACCUUUGGAUGGGGAAUAACAACCGGAAACGGUUGCUAAUACCGCAUAAUGCAGCGGCACCUAAUGGUGACAGUUGUUAAAGCGGGGGAUCGAAAGACCUCGCGUCUGAAGAGGAGCCUGCGGCGGAUUAGCUAGUUGGUAGGGUAACGGCCUACCAAGGCUACGAUCCGUA